CCUACGGGAGGCAGCAGUGAGGAAUAUUGGUCAAUGGCCGAGAGGCUGAACCAGCCAAGUCGCGUGCGGGAAGACGGCCCUACGGGUUGUACACUUCUUUUGUCGGGGAGCAAAGAGAGUCACGUGUGACUCGUUGAGAGUACCCGAAGAAAAAGCAUCGGCUAACUCCGUGCCAGCAGCCGCGGUAAUACGGAGGAUGCGAGCGUUAUCCGGAUUUAUUGGGUUUAAAGGGUGCGUAGGCGGAAGGUUAAGUUAGCGGUCAAAUGUCGGGGCUAAACCCUGGCCUGCCGUUGAAACUGGUCUUCUUGAGUGAGCGAGAAGUAGGCGGAAUGCGUGGUGUAGCGGUGAAAUGCAUAGAGAUCACACAGAACUCCGAUUGCGAAGGCAGCAUACCGGCGCUCAACUGACGCUGAGGCACGAAAGCGUGGGGAUCGAACAGGAUUAGAUACCCGUGUAGUC
Molecule: ribosomal RNA, 459 nt
Filed under: uncultured bacterium
Lineage: Bacteria
Description: partial 16S ribosomal RNA
Rfam family: Bacterial small subunit ribosomal RNA
Source: RNAcentral